Long non-coding RNA from Canis lupus familiaris (dog), 1010 nucleotides. RefSeq lists it as uncharacterized. Lineage: Eukaryota; Metazoa; Chordata; Mammalia; Carnivora; Canidae. The transcript is spliced from 3 exons. The record is from RefSeq and is a predicted model, not a curated record.
GGAGCCAGCACCCAGGCCUGUCUGAGCAGCCCUGGGGAGUUAAGCUGGUGCCAAAGUCUCAUCACACAGAAGAGCAGUGAUUUCCAGGUGGACAGAGGAGAGGAGGACCUCACUGGCAGAGAAUCACCACACCUUUGUUCAUGAUGAGCUGUAAGAACACGGCUGUCCUUGUGGGUCCUGACACUGAUUUCCAAAUUCGCUGCCGGCUGCUAGAGCUCCCUGACUAUCACGCCUCAGAGCCCAGUUCUUGGAGGACAGACACAGCGCUGACCCACUGUUUCAGUCUCCACAGCACCUAAUGAGGUUAUUCCCAUCGUAUGGAAUGGAAAAACUGAACUCCAGAGACGCAAGUGAAACUAGGAAGAAGCAAGGAGCAGGGAGCAGCAUCGCUGGAAUCUUUGACCUGUCCGGUCCUGCUUCAUACAUGUAGUCAAUCAGUUCCAUAAGAAGCACAGGUCUGCCUUCAUCUGCCCUCUUGGCUAAAGGAACUGGAAUAUUUUUUUAUUCUGAAUUCGAAGAAUUCAAUAAGAAAAAUAAUAACUGUUUACAUAACUUUAAGUUCUCUUAUGACUUUGUUAGCAUGAAGUAGCACUUCUCCAUGUUAUGUGAAAAUUUGAGCUGUUUGGAUUUCCUCAUAUCAUUCAUACACGUAUUUGUAUUUUUUGGACCAUUAUUUCUGUCAGGAUGGGCUAACGUAUGCUGCAUUAAUGAACAAUUCCCAAAUCUCAGUGGCUUAACACAACAAGGACAUAUUUGUCCCUCAUGCUGCAUAUUUAAAGUUGGCCUGUGUAUGACAGUCACUCAGGGGCCCAGCCAGAGGGACAUAUGCUCCCACAACUGCCAAGGCACAAGAUAAGUGGUGUACUAGCUCUUUAAACUUCCAGCAGGGGCAGCCUAGGUGGCUUAGCGGUUGAAUGUCUACCUUCAGCUCAAGGCGUGAUCCUGGAGACCCGGGAUUGAGGCCCACAUCAGGCUCCCUGCAUGGAGCCUGCUUCUCCCUCUGCCUGUGU